This 69-nucleotide transfer RNA is filed under the name Ictidomys tridecemlineatus (thirteen-lined ground squirrel). RNAcentral's name for it is "Spermophilus tridecemlineatus (thirteen-lined ground squirrel) tRNA". It matches the Rfam family "tRNA". Rfam says of the family: Transfer RNA (tRNA) molecules are approximately 80 nucleotides in length. Their secondary structure includes four short double-helical elements and three loops (D, anti-codon, and T loops). Lineage: Eukaryota; Metazoa; Chordata; Mammalia; Rodentia; Sciuridae. The record is from Rfam by way of RNAcentral.
GGGGCUGUAGCUCAUUGGUAGAGCGCCCGCCUUGCACGUGUGAGGCACUAGGUUCGAUCCUCAGCACUA